This 305-nucleotide ribosomal RNA is filed under the name Staphylococcus xylosus. Its description in RNAcentral is "bacterial SSU rRNA". It matches the Rfam family "Bacterial small subunit ribosomal RNA", at positions 931 to 1234 of the family's 1533-position model. Lineage: Bacteria; Bacillati; Bacillota; Bacilli; Caryophanales; Staphylococcaceae. The record is from RNAcentral.
UGUUGGAGCACGUGGUUUAAUUUGAAGCAACGCGAAGAACCUUACCAAAUCUUGACAUCCUUUGAAAACUCUAGAGAUAGAGCCUUCCCCUUCGGGGGACAAAGUGACAGGUGGUGCAUGGUUGUCGUCAGCUCGUGUCGUGAGAUGUUGGGUUAAGUCCCGCAACGAGCGCAACCCUUAAGCUUAGUUGCCAUCAUUAAGUUGGGCACUCUAGGUUGACUGCCGGUGACAAACCGGAGGAAGGUGGGGAUGACGUCAAAUCAUCAUGCCCCUUAUGAUUUGGGCUACACACGUGCUACAAUGGA